GCACAUGAAUUGUAAUACACAUGUAGAAAUGUGUGUACAUAGAUUUAUCUUUAAUUAUUAAAAGCUCUGACUCAAUACAUUUACUGUAAUACAGAUAUAUGUUCAUUGUUGAUAACUAAGCACAUGAAUUGUAAUAUGUACAUAAAAAGUAACCAUGGUGCAGCAAUAUUCUGUGAUAAUAAAUAAAGACUAUUUCCAUUUCA
RNAcentral lists this long non-coding RNA (203 nucleotides) under Mytilus galloprovincialis (Mediterranean mussel). The record is from RNAcentral. Lineage: Eukaryota; Metazoa; Mollusca; Bivalvia; Mytilida; Mytilidae.